This 253-nucleotide ribosomal RNA is filed under the name uncultured bacterium. Its description in RNAcentral is "partial 16S ribosomal RNA". It matches the Rfam family "Bacterial small subunit ribosomal RNA", at positions 524 to 776 of the family's 1533-position model. The record is from RNAcentral.
UACGGAGGGAGCUAGCGUUAUUCGGAAUUACUGGGCGUAAAGCGCACGUAGGCGGCUUUGUAAGUUAGAGGUGAAAGCCUGGAGCUCAACUCCAGAACUGCCUUUAAGACUGCAUCGCUUGAAUCCGGGAGAGGUGAGUGGAAUUCCGAGUGUAGAGGUGAAAUUCGUAGAUAUUCGGAAGAACACCAGUGGCGAAGGCGGCUCACUGGACCGGCAUUGACGCUGAAGAGCGAAAGCGUGGGGAGCAAACAGG